AAAUUGUUCAAAGCGUGAUAAAGAGACUCUUAGCUCAAAUUUAAAAAAAGUCAAACGACUUAAUCUACCUUUAUCAUCAUCAACUGUAUCAUCUUCCGCAACAUCCCUACGUCAUUCUUCAUCGUCAAUCAUUGAAAGAAGAACCUCAACUGUAUCUAGCAGCAAAAAAUUAACUUCCAGAGUUGAAUCAAAAGUUUCUGACGAUGAAAGUGGAUUAGAUUCAAUGGAAACCCAAAAUGGUUCUCCUAAGGAAGAGGAGGAGGAAGGAGAGGAAGAUGAUGAAGGAUUAGAUAGGGGUGAGAU
This 303-nucleotide long non-coding RNA is filed under the name Lupinus mutabilis. Its description in RNAcentral is "partial ncRNA". The record is from RNAcentral. Lineage: Eukaryota; Viridiplantae; Streptophyta; Magnoliopsida; Fabales; Fabaceae.